UUGGCAGGAGCAUGUGACUGGAAUCUUAUGAGCCUGGGAGUAUUGGAAUAUUUGGGAUUCAGUUGAGAGAGAAACUCUCUCUCUGGAACUGAAGAGGAAAGGAGAGAGAAGUGUGGCUGAAUCUGUCAAAAGAUCAAUUCCCAAGACAUUAGCCUGUGAAGAUCCUUUGGCUGUGGUGAGGAUUUAUUCUUCAAUCAUCUGCUGGUCAGGGACUGAGGAGCUGUCUUCAACUUGGAGGAGUUAUUAUCUGUGGAUAUUUCACCUUGGCUUCUUGUUUUGGCUCCCAGAGACUCUAUUAUUUGCCUUAUUGGAGCCUGAAUUUUCCCUGGCACAAAGGACAUAUGAGACAGGAGAGCGACAUGAAUUCAGAUGUGAUUUGAGAGCCAUGGGGAAGUUCUUCAAGUUGGAGCAUGGAACUCAUCAGCUCAGCAAAAUUAUAGCAUUCAGGAAGAACCCAGCACCAGGGAGCAAUUAUCCUGUGUUCAUCUCUGCAAACCAAUCACUUUUAGCAACUAACUAGGAAUCUUCACCGGUGACUCAAGAUCAAAACAGCCAUUUGUACUUGAAAUAAUUGUUCAAAGCUUUUGAAUGCUAACUUCAAAGAAUUAACGUGGUUCCAUCUGGAAAAUGGGUAUAUGAGUAUCUACUGCAGAAGUUCCAUGAAGCCAGCUUAGCUUAUGACUUUCUCUUGAGAUUUCCAUAUAUAAAGUCUUUAGGGACUGAGAGUAGCUAAUGCCAGACAGGUCAUCUGUAGCCCAGGCAAAUAUCAAAAGUAAAUGACA
This 782-nucleotide long non-coding RNA is filed under the name Monodelphis domestica (gray short-tailed opossum). RNAcentral describes it as "lncRNA (ENSMODG00000032594.2)". The record is from RNAcentral. Lineage: Eukaryota; Metazoa; Chordata; Mammalia; Didelphimorphia; Didelphidae.